RNAcentral lists this ribosomal RNA (250 nucleotides) under uncultured bacterium. RNAcentral describes it as "partial 16S ribosomal RNA". It matches the Rfam family "Bacterial small subunit ribosomal RNA", at positions 107 to 354 of the family's 1533-position model. The record is from RNAcentral.
UGAGGUAACACGUAUGCAACCUGCCUGCCACAGCCGGAUAAUCGGGAGAAAUUCCGUCUAAUACGGCAUAAUGCAUCGACGGGACAUCCUGUUGGUGCCAAAGGUUAAUUCCGGUGGCGGAUGGGCAUGCGUCGCAUUAGUUAGUUGGCGGUGUAACGGACCACCAAGACGACGAUGCGUAGGGGUUCUGAGAGGAAGGUCCCCCACACUGGUACUGAGACACGGACCAGACUCCUACGGAAGGCAGCAG